GACGAACGCUGGCGGCGCGCUUAACACAUGCAAGUCGAGCGAGAACCUUCCUUCGGGAAGGGGAAAGCGGCGAACGGGUGAGUAACACGUGGGUAAUCAACCCUUGGUACCGGGAUAGCCCGAGGAAACUCGGAUUAAUACCGGAUGGCCCAACAGCUUUUCGGGGCGGUUGGGAAAGGUAGCUUCGGCCUCCGACCGAGGACGAGCCCGCGGCGGAUUAGCUUGUUGGUGGGGUAACGGCCUACCAAGGCGACGAUCCGUAGCUGGCUGAGAGGACGAUCAGCCACACUGGGACUGAGACACGGCCCAGACUCCUACGGGAGGCAGCAGUGGGGAAUCUUGCACAAUGGGCGAAAGCCUGAUGCAGCGACGCCGCGUGAGGGAAGAAGGCUUUC
This 395-nucleotide ribosomal RNA is filed under the name uncultured bacterium. Its description in RNAcentral is "bacterial SSU rRNA". It matches the Rfam family "Bacterial small subunit ribosomal RNA", at positions 28 to 419 of the family's 1533-position model. The record is from RNAcentral.